Molecule: ribosomal RNA, 253 nt
Filed under: uncultured bacterium
Lineage: Bacteria
Description: partial 16S ribosomal RNA
Rfam family: Bacterial small subunit ribosomal RNA
Source: RNAcentral
UACAGAGACUGCAAGCGUUAUUCGGAUUCACUGGGCGUAAAGGGUGCGCAGGCGGCCGUGUGUGUCAGGUGUGAAAGCCCGGGGCUUAACCCCGGAAUUGCGCCUGAAACUACAUGGCUAGAGCAUUGGAGAGGGUAGCGGAAUUCACGGUGUAGCAGUGAAAUGCGUAGAUAUCGAGAGGAACACCAGUGGCGAAGGCGAGUCUCUGGACGACUCCUGACACUGAGGCACGAAAGCUAGGGGAGCAAACAGG